GCCUCCCUGGACUUUGGGCGAAAAUGGCAGCUGGUUCAUGAGCAUGUGAACAGGUUCUACUGGUCUGUAACGGGUCUAGACAAGUAGUCAGAUCUGGUUCACAUGGAGGCACACACCCCUAACGGACGUAUACAGUAUGUAACAUGCCGGGCUCUAACGUGCUCAGAGCCCAACAGAAACUAACCCUUCCCUGGAUACAUCGACAUCAGCUCACUGGUGGUCCAAGAUGACUAUAUGUU
Molecule: long non-coding RNA, 239 nt
Organism: Coregonus clupeaformis (lake whitefish)
Lineage: Eukaryota; Metazoa; Chordata; Actinopteri; Salmoniformes; Salmonidae
Exons: 3
Source: RefSeq, a predicted model, not a curated record